GUACUGAUGAAGAGUCCCAAACUAGGAUGAAACAUGUGUCCAAUAC
Molecule: non-coding RNA, 46 nt
Organism: Trichobilharzia regenti
Lineage: Eukaryota; Metazoa; Platyhelminthes; Trematoda; Strigeidida; Schistosomatidae
Source: Rfam